UUAACAUACCUCCAAUGUUUUACCUAGGACACAGAGAUAAAUAUAUAAGCAUCGUAUACCGUCUAAUGUUGUGGAAAACUCUUAAUUAAAAGAUGUAUUAAGAGAUACUUGACAAGAAUUGUAUCCUGAUAAAACAAUGUCUGAAACUAGGCACAACAUCAAGAAUUGUUAGGACUGCCUAAGGUAGCAAUUGACAUUGAUGCACUUUGCUUUGGAUUAUCCUCAGUUGUUAUGAUCAAAGAACUGUGACAUCACAAAUUGCAUUUGCACAAGGACAAACUCCAACUUUAUUCUUAAAUCAUGGAGAAUUGCUAAAACUUGCAGUAGUGCUUCCACCACAUGGUACGACAGUUCUUAAGAAGACUAUGGAACGACACAUGUGUUUAUGUUUUGUAAGAGAAAACAUCCAGAAGGUAAUAAAUUGCAAGCAUAUUCGGA
Molecule: long non-coding RNA, 438 nt
Organism: Dinoponera quadriceps
Lineage: Eukaryota; Metazoa; Arthropoda; Insecta; Hymenoptera; Formicidae
Exons: 2
Source: RefSeq, a predicted model, not a curated record